CCCCGCAGAAAGCGCCCGGCCCGCUGCGCAGAGGGGCGCCGGGCGCAGGGACGGCGUUUUCUGAACGCUGCUCGGUCCAGCUCUGAGGCUCGGGCUAGAGGCCGUUCGGUCCCCUUAAACAGCUGUGUCCACGCUCCCAGCCACCGGCCUUGGGCUUUCGCACUCCGGGGCAGCGUACACCUGCCCCACUCGCCUAGACAACCGGGCAGCCCCUCUGUCCCAAAGCCCACUGAAACCGCUCCUCCCGGCCAUUCCCAACCUGCCUCCGGCCUCACCCGUUCCUCCGAGGAAACCGCGGCGAAGGCGCUUGCUGUCGCUCUCCGCCCCCCUGCCCGCGCCGCUGCUCGGUGGGUGGCCUGCGCGCAGCUGCCAUCCUCCCUGGGACUGCGAAACUCGCCCGGUCUCUCUCCUCUGAUCUGCGCCUGGCCUCACCAGCCUUGCCCAAGGCGGCGUGGUUACACACUCAGUCCUCUGGAUGUGUAUGCUAGCUGGGAUAACGGAAACUGCUAUAACCAAUCGGCCCCGAACCAAUUCCUGUGGUUUGAGACGAUAGAGCUUUAUUUCUUGCUCAGAGUGCCUCAUAGGCACGGAGCUCUCCUCCAUGGGCUGUUUCAGGGACCCAAGUUCCUUCCACCUUGGUGCUCUGCCCUCCUUCGGCACUCCGGAGGUCUCUGCUGGGUCUUCUGCGCCAGGCUGGGAAGUGGCAGGCUUCAGUUUUACUCACAUCCUAUUGGCCUGAACUCAGUCACUUUGCCACACCAAGGGUCAGGGGCUGAGUGUCCAGGAAGAAUAGGGAAGUAGUACUAUGAGUAGUUAUUUAUUAACGCAUUACAUAAAUUUAAUCCUCAUAAAUAUGCUCUUGAAAUAGAUACUAUUAUUUAUUCAUCUUGUGUAACUAGGAAAAUAGAGGCUCAGAGAUGUUAAGUAAUUUUCCCAAAGACACACACCUUGUAAGGGAAACUUGGAUUUGACUUCAGGUUGGCUGGCAAUAGACCCUCACUUUUACUCAUUGAAAAAUAUUGCUGAAGACCAUUGACUGAGUUGAAAUUUGAUUCUCUUUGGUGAGAAUCAAACUGAAGUACCAAGAUAUGAAUUCUACUGUACCUUCUAAGCAGGGUCACAGCCUCUUUUAACUCCAAGGGAGGCUAUUCAUAUCAUAGUCUGCAUGAAUGUUGCUCCCUGGAAUUGUGCGGUGCACAACCUGUGUAGCCUUACGUAACAGCUUUGCUUCUAAUUGCCAUAUAAAUUCAACAACCAUUCCCUAUGCAUCUACUAUUUGCCAGUGACUGGGCUAGGUACAUUCAUGCAAAUUAUGUCAUAGCAGGGACUCCUUAAAUUUGUUUGAUUCACUGGCCGUGUAUCAGCAGAGCUUGUUAUGGAAUUUUUUGGGUAGCCACAUUCUGCCCAGUGGAAAAGGGCUUUGCUUUUUUGAAAACUUGCCAUCUCUUAGGAAUUGAAUUCCCUUCAGUGCCCACGUCUGUUUUCUUGCACUGCACACUGGAACGGAGACAAAGUCACCCACGUCUUGUCUUGCUGAGCAUGCCGAGCACAAAGAGGUUGACAGUGCCACUUUGCCACAUUUCUCUUUUCUGUUUGGAUAAUUGCAUUGUCAAGAAUUACUUAUCAUACGUUUAGCAUUUAAUACCUAUUUAUUAUGAGUUCAUGUAACUGCUAUUUAAAGAAUAAUCUGCGCUAACUCCUUUCCACCCUAUUUGAUGCCACUCUGAUUCUAUAAUUGCUGGUUUCUGCGAUAUUAUGCCACAAAACCUGAAAGCAUAAUUGGUUGUUUCAUUCCAGACAAUACGUUUCCAAGAUGCUGAGAGCUUAACUGGCAGGUGGAAGCUCGAGCAAAGGCGUCAGGCGCGCUCACUCGCGCAGGCCGGCCUCGCAGGGUUGAAGUGAAAAAGGAGGGAUGACGUCCACAGAGCAGCGAGCGGCCGGCAUGGCUGAGACCAUUACAAAGCCAGUGACCCUGUUCUUUGGGAUUUGUACUGUAAAGGAACCAUUUCCCGCCCAUCUCUGUUCCCCUGUCUGCAGAACCAAAGGCCGAUCUGUUUGGUGGCCAGCGGUGAUCAGCUGGCAGAUGGUGCUGACGAGGAUUCGACAUUCACCAGGGAAACGUCUCCUGAAUCCACCGGAACUGCGAGAUUUCAUCAUCGCGCAUCCUGCGUGCACCUACCCGGCACAGAGCACUGUGCCAGCCCCAGGACGUGAGGGUCUCGGCCUGGCGAGGCCGAUGGGGACAGCAGCACAGCGUUGAGCCCAGGAGAUGUAUUCUCUUAUUGCCACUUUACCACUGAGAAAACUGAGGCUCAGAGCAGCCCUACAUGGAAGAGCUUAUCUGCAAACCAGUUGCUGUGGCUGGUGUGUGUGUGGCGGGGUCGGGCAGAGGAUGAACCCACCUGGGAUCAGCCGCCAGGCUGGGCACGUGGAGUCUGGAGUCGGGACAGCUGGGCCCCCAAAAGAAGGCACGCAGGACGAGGAAACAUAUCCUGAGUCCCCAGCAUUUACUUAGAGCUUAAUAAUAGAUACUAUUCCCAGAGCAAAACGCUGCGCCUCUGCCCCUUCCCAGUGCUCGAUCAAAAAGCAAGUGCUAUAUCAAAGAUUA
Non-coding RNA from Microcebus murinus (gray mouse lemur), 2608 nucleotides. Lineage: Eukaryota; Metazoa; Chordata; Mammalia; Primates; Cheirogaleidae. The record is from RefSeq and is a predicted model, not a curated record.